UCUCUAAUUUUAGUUCUUUGCUCAUCUCUUCAUAUUUCUCUCUAUUUUUUCUCCUCCACAUCUUUCAUUUUCUUCCCGAAUUCGUGUUCUUCUACCAAACUGAUACCGAUCGAGACGAUGAUCAUGGUAGCCUGCUAUCAAUCCAUUUGGAACCAUCUCAACCAGGUAGCCCCUACCCUAAAAAAAAUUAAAUAAUUUUUUUGACCAAUAACUUGAAAAAAAAAAAAUAGUCAUAAUAAAAAUGGCUCGGGUAUAUAUUUUGCAUUAUUAUAACGACUCAUGUCCAGGAUUCAAAUCAGGAUUUGAAAUCCAGAUUCGAUACUUGAUAGACCCGACAUUUCUCUGCGACAUGAUUAGAUUACUUGCUCCUCACCUAUAAGAGUGACAGUCCUUUUAGAUUCCUUACUUCUCGCUUCUUCGGAGUUUGAGCGAUAUGAUUAGACUUCUUACUACUCGAUUUUUAGAGUAAAGAGUUCUUUCAGCAAAAUUUGUUCUCUGAAAAAUUCAUAGGAUGUCACUC
Cucurbita maxima (winter squash) is the source of this 520-nucleotide long non-coding RNA. RefSeq lists it as uncharacterized. NCBI's taxonomy places the organism in Eukaryota, Viridiplantae, Streptophyta, Magnoliopsida, Cucurbitales, Cucurbitaceae. The record is from RefSeq and is a predicted model, not a curated record. The transcript is spliced from 2 exons.